Long non-coding RNA from Mirounga angustirostris (Northern elephant seal), 391 nucleotides. RefSeq lists it as uncharacterized. The record is from RefSeq and is a predicted model, not a curated record. The transcript is spliced from 4 exons. Lineage: Eukaryota; Metazoa; Chordata; Mammalia; Carnivora; Phocidae.
UUACAAGCUGGGGUCCCUGCUUCUCAUGACAGUGCUCUUUCCCACAUAGCAUUAUAGCCCAAACUCAUCAUAUUUAAGGUGCACCCAUCCAUUUUCCUAGGGACCCUGGAGAAGACAGUGUCUGGAAUGGAAAGAUCUGCUUAGCAGUCGUUAGUGAUGCUUCCUUAUGGCUUACAUCUCACAUCGUCUAGAAUUUCAAAAACCAUCAGAUGGAAAUCAUUUUAAAUUGACAUUAAACACAGAGUGACUUUAUUGAGAUAAGUAUCUGAUCAAGAAAAAAAGAGGUGGUUGGUUACUUGCAGAAAAUUAUUUGGAAGAAAGACCAAGAAGGACAAGAGGAAGGAGAGACCGGACAUGUGGAGAGGAACAGAUGUUCAAAGGGAGCUUACGG